Molecule: ribosomal RNA, 262 nt
Filed under: uncultured bacterium
Lineage: Bacteria
Description: partial 16S ribosomal RNA
Rfam family: Bacterial small subunit ribosomal RNA
Source: RNAcentral
GCCGCGGUAAUACGUAGGGUCCAAGCGUUAAUCGGAAGUACUGGGCGUAAAGGGUGUGUAGGCGGAUAUUUAAGUCAGAGGUGAAAUCUCCGGGCUCAACCCGGAAACUGCCUUUGAUACUAUUUAUCUUGAAUUUCGUUGAGGUUGGCGGAAUAUAUCAUGUAGCGGUGAAAUGCAUAGAUAUGAUAUAGAACACCGAUUGCGUAGGCAGCUGGCUGAACGAACAUUGACGCUGAGGCACGAAAGCGUGGGUAGCGAACAG